RNAcentral lists this long non-coding RNA (1420 nucleotides) under Salmo salar (Atlantic salmon). Its description in RNAcentral is "lncRNA (ENSSSAG00000090730.1)". Lineage: Eukaryota; Metazoa; Chordata; Actinopteri; Salmoniformes; Salmonidae. The record is from RNAcentral.
CAUUUACAUAAGUAUUCAGACCCUUUACUCAGUACUUUGUUAAAGCACCUUUGGCAGUGAUUACAGCCUUGAGUCUUCUUUGGUAUGACGCUACAAGCUUGGCACAACUGUAUUUGGGGAGUUUCUCCCAUUCUUCUCUGUAGAUCCUCUCAAGCUCUGUCAGGUUGGAUGGGGAGCGUCGCUGCACAGCUAUUUUCAGGUCUCUCCAGAGAUGUUUGAUCGGGUUCAAGUCCGGGCUCUGGCUGGGCCACUCAAGAACAUUCAGAGACGUGUCCUGAAGCCACUCCUGCGUUGUCUUGGCUGUGUGCUUAGGGUCGGUGUCCUGUUGGAAGGUAAAGCGUCACCCCAGUCUGAGGUGCGGAGCGCUCUGAAGCAGGUUUUCAUCAAGGAUCUCUCUGUACUUUGCUCCGUUCGUCUUUCCCUCGAUCCUGACUAGUCUCCCAGUUCCUGCCGCUGAAAAACAUCCCCACAGCAUGAUGCUGCCACCACCAUGCUUCACCGUAGGGAUGGUGCCAGGUUUCUUCCAGACAUGAUGCUUGGAAUUCUUGCCAAGGAGUUCAAUCUUGGUUAAAACAGACCAGAGAAUCUUGUUUGGCCGGGCGGCCAGCUCUAGGAAGAGUCUUGGUGGUUCAAAACUUCUUCCAUUUCAGAAUGAUGGAGGCCACUGUGUUCUUGGGGACCUUCAAUACUGUAUAAAUGUUUUGGUACCCUUCCCCAGAUCUGUGCCUCGACACAAUCCUGUCUCUGAGCUCUACGGACAAUUUCUUCAACCUCGUGGCUUGGUUUUUGCUCUGACAUGCACUGUCAACUGUGGGACCUUAUAUAGACAGGCGGUAAAUAACUUUAAGAACGAGACCGGUUACACCAACCGCAUGAUGACGAGAGUAGCCCAGCCCCCCGUCGUCCCCACCCCUCCUCUCCAGCCUCAAUCCCGCCCUCAGUGCCCGCUCCAGCCUAUCAGGAGCCAGCAGGACCCUCUCAUGCCCCGCCCUCCAGCCUUAGACACGCCACCAUUGGCUCAGCAGCAGCAGCAGGUUGGCCCGCCCCUCAGAGUCGGGAACCAUAAUAACUCCUCCCACAUGGCUGCUGGCUCCUCCUAUAACUCAACGGGGCCCUCCCCCCAGCACCCAACCAAUCACAACAACACGCUUAUUAUAACAAAGUAAGAUUCUCUCUCUUAAAAUGGCUCUUUCUCUUUCUUUCUCUCUCCUUCUUUCUUUCUGUCUCGUUCUCUCUCUCCCUCUCUCUCUCUGUCUCCCUCUCUCUGUCUCUCUCUCUCAUAGACACAGCCAGUGAAACAGAGGUGUCUGUGAGGUUGAGGUAAGGUUUUAGUAACGAUGCUACAUGUCUGUUUUUCCAGAGAGCCAGAGAGUGGAGGAGUUCAGUCUGUGGUGGUCUCAGCCGACCCCCUCUAGCCAAG